RNAcentral lists this ribosomal RNA (301 nucleotides) under uncultured bacterium. RNAcentral describes it as "partial 16S ribosomal RNA". It matches the Rfam family "Bacterial small subunit ribosomal RNA", at positions 509 to 807 of the family's 1533-position model. The record is from RNAcentral.
CAGUAGCCGCGGUAAUGCGAAGGGGGCUAGCGUUGUUCGGAUUUACUGGGCGUAAUGGGCGCGUAGGCGGACUGAUAAGUCAGGGGUGAAAUCCCAAGGCUCAACCUUGGAACUGCCUUUGAUACUGUUUGUCUUGAGUUCGAGAGAGGUAAGUGGAACUGCGAGUGUAGAGGUGAAAUUCGUAGAUAUUCGCAAGAACACCAGUGGCGAAGGCGGCUUACUGGCUCGAAACUGACGCUGAGGCGCGAAAGCGUGGGGAGCAAACAGGAUUAGAUACCCCCGUAGUCCCUGUCUCUUAUAC